GAUGAAGAACGUAGUGAAAUGCGAUACGUAAUGUGAAUUGCAGAAUUCAGUGAAUCAUCGAAUCUUUGAACGCAUAUUGCGCUCUCUGGUAUUCCGGAGAGCAUGCUUGUUUGAGUAUCAGUAAACACCUCAACUUCCAUAUCUUUUUUGAAAUGGGAGUUGGACUUGAGUGAUCCCAACGCUUUUCCUCACCGAAAAGUGGCGGGUUACUUGAAAUGCAGGUGCAGCUGGACUUUUCUCUGAGCUAUAAGCAUAUCUAUUUAGUCUGCCUAAAAACAGAUUAUUACCUUUGCUGCAGCUAACAUAAAGGAGAUUAGUUCUUGUGCUGACUGAUGCAGGAUUCACAAAGACAGGCCUCGGCCGACUUUGUAAACUCGAUCUCAAAUCAAGUAAGACUACCCGCUGAACUUAAGCAUAUCAAUAAGCGGAGGA
Molecule: unclassified non-coding RNA, 432 nt
Filed under: soil metagenome
Description: partial contains 5.8S ribosomal RNA, internal transcribed spacer 2, and large subunit ribosomal RNA
Rfam family: 5.8S ribosomal RNA (bases 1-120)
Source: RNAcentral